This 394-nucleotide ribosomal RNA is filed under the name Quistrachia lefroyi. RNAcentral describes it as "partial 16S ribosomal RNA". It matches the Rfam family "Bacterial large subunit ribosomal RNA", at positions 1796 to 2550 of the family's 2925-position model. Lineage: Eukaryota; Metazoa; Mollusca; Gastropoda; Stylommatophora; Camaenidae. The record is from RNAcentral.
UCGCCUGUUUAUCAAAAACAUAGCCAUUAGUAAUUAUUAUUGGUGAUUUYUGCUCAAUGAAAUUUAAAUAGCCGCAGUACCCUGACUGUGCAAAGGUAGCAUAAUAAAUUGGCUUAUAAUUAAAGUCUAGUAUGAAUGAAAUAAUGGAGAAUAACUGUAUCUUAAAUGUUGAAUGAAAUUACUGAGCAUGUGAAAAUUCGUGCAGUUAAUUAAUAGACGAGAAGACCCUAGAAAUUUUAAGAAUUCGUAAACAUGGUUUUUGUUGGGGCAACAGUGUAACAAGUAACUUACUUUUAAUUUUACAAGAAAUACAAUUGGUAGAAUAAAUUACUCUAGGGAUAACAGCGUAAUGUAUUAACGAUUGCGACCUCGAUGCACAGUCAGGGUACUGCGG